GCCGGAGUGGUGGAAUCGGUAGACACGACAGACUCAAAAUCUGUUGCCUGCAAGGGUGUGCGAGUUCGAGUCUCGCCUCCGGCACCA
This 87-nucleotide transfer RNA is filed under the name Immundisolibacterales bacterium. Its description in RNAcentral is "tRNA-Leu". It matches the Rfam family "tRNA". From Rfam's summary of the family: Transfer RNA (tRNA) molecules are approximately 80 nucleotides in length. Their secondary structure includes four short double-helical elements and three loops (D, anti-codon, and T loops). Further hydrogen bonds mediate the characteristic L-shaped molecular structure. tRNAs have two regions of fundamental functional importance: the anti-codon, which is responsible for specific mRNA codon recognition, and the 3' end, to which the tRNAs corresponding amino acid is attached (by aminoacyl-tRNA synthetases). tRNAs cope with the degeneracy of the genetic code in two manners: having more than one tRNA (with a specific anti-codon) for a particular amino acid; and 'wobble' base-pairing, i.e. permitting non-standard base-pairing at the 3rd anti-codon position. The record is from RNAcentral. Lineage: Bacteria; Pseudomonadati; Pseudomonadota; Gammaproteobacteria; Immundisolibacterales.